RNAcentral lists this ribosomal RNA (423 nucleotides) under uncultured organism. RNAcentral's name for it is "bacterial SSU rRNA". It matches the Rfam family "Bacterial small subunit ribosomal RNA", at positions 492 to 917 of the family's 1533-position model. The record is from RNAcentral.
ACCGGCUAAUUCCGUGCCAGCAGCCGCGGUAAUACGGAAGGUCCGGGCGUUAUCCGGAUUUAUUGGGUUUAAAGGGAGCGUAGGCCGGAGAUUAAGCGUGUUGUGAAAUGUAGAUGCUCAACAUCUGCACUGCAGCGCGAACUGGUUUCCUUGAGUACGCACAAAGUGGGCGGAAUUCGUGGUGUAGCGGUGAAAUGCUUAGAUAUCACGAAGAACUCCGAUUGCGAAGGCAGCUCACUGGAGCGCAACUGACGCUGAAGCUCGAAAGUGCGGGUAUCGAACAGGAUUAGAUACCCUGGUAGUCCGCACGGUAAACGAUGGAUGCCCGCUGUUGGUCUGAAUAGGUCAGCGGCCAAGCGAAAGCAUUAAGCAUCCCACCUGGGGAGUACGCCGGCAACGGUGCAACUCAAAUGAAUUGACGGA